GCCGUCUUGUCAAAGUAGUGUGCGUGACUUUUAAUCACGUGGCUGUGUGUUCGAUGUCCACAGACGGCG
Molecule: non-coding RNA, 69 nt
Organism: Brassica napus (rape)
Lineage: Eukaryota; Viridiplantae; Streptophyta; Magnoliopsida; Brassicales; Brassicaceae
Source: Rfam